AACGAACGCUGGCGGCGUGGAUUAGGCAUGCAAGUCGAACGCGAAAGAGGGGGUAACUCCUCGAGUAGAGUGGCGAACGGGUGAGUAACACGUGAGAAACCUGCCUUCAGCAGGGGGAUAACACUCCCAACGGGGUGCUAAUACCGCAUGAGACCACGGAUUCGCAUGGAUCUGGGGUCAAAGGUGGCCUCUGCUUGCAAGCUACCGGCUGAAGAUGGUCUCGCGCCCAUUAGCUAGUUGGUGGGGUAAUGGCCCACCAAGGCGACGAUGGGUAGCUGGUCUGAGAGGAUGGUCAGCCACACUGGGACUGAGAUACGGCCCAGACUCCUACGGGAGGCAGCAGUCGAGAGGCUUUGGCAA
RNAcentral lists this ribosomal RNA (360 nucleotides) under uncultured bacterium. Its description in RNAcentral is "bacterial SSU rRNA". It matches the Rfam family "Bacterial small subunit ribosomal RNA", at positions 29 to 371 of the family's 1533-position model. The record is from RNAcentral.